This 446-nucleotide ribosomal RNA is filed under the name uncultured bacterium. Its description in RNAcentral is "partial 16S ribosomal RNA". It matches the Rfam family "Bacterial small subunit ribosomal RNA", at positions 338 to 795 of the family's 1533-position model. The record is from RNAcentral.
CCUACGGGGGGCAGCAGUCGAGAAUCAUUCACAAUGGGGGAAACCCUGAUGGUGCGACGCCGCGUGGGGGAAUGAAGGUCUUCGGAUUGUAAACCCCUGUCAUGUGGGAGCAAAUUAAAACGAUCGUACCACAAGAGGCAGAGACGGCUAACUCUGUGCCAGCAGCCGCGGUAAUACAGAGGUCUCAAGCGUUGUUCGGAAUCACUGGGCGUAAAGCGUGCGUAGGCUGUUUCGUAAGUCGUGUGUGAAAGGCGCGGGCUCAACCCGCGGACGGCACAUGAUACUGCGAGACUAGAGUAAGGGAGGGGGAACCGGAAUUCUCGGUGUAGCAGUGAAAUGCGUAGAUAUCGAGAGGAACACUCGUGGCGAAGGCGGGUUCCUGGACAUUAACUGACGCUGAGGCACGAAGGCCAGGGGAGCGAAAGGGAUUAGAUACCCUAGUAGUC